CGAACUUCUUUCCUUCAUUCCGUAAGGCAGCAUUACUGAUGGAGUACUCUCCAAAGCUAGCUGCAGCACUGCUCUUAGCCCUCACGUCCGCCAUGAUCGUCACCGCCCAGAAUGACGAUGCUGACUACAUGGUAAAUGCCCACAAUGAAGUGCGCGCCGCCGUCGGUGUGGGGCCGGUGACGUGGGACCCCGUAGUGGCGGCGUACGCGCAGUCAUUCGCGGAGAAGCGCCGCACCGACUGCCAGCCAAUACUCUCUCCGGAUGGCGGUCCAUACGGAGAGAACAUCUUUCGGGCCCCUGGUACCGAAUGGAAUGCGAUAGACGUAGUGAUUUAUUGGGCGUCCGGAAAGCAGUACUACGACCACGCCACCAACACUUGCUCCGCACCUACGGGUGAGUCGUGCGAUGAAUACAUGAAUUUGGUGUGGAGGGACACGAAGACCAUCGGUUGCGGCGCUGUCGUCUGUGACGGCAAUGCCGGUGUGUUUGUCAUCUGCAGCUACAGCCCGCCGCACAUGGUUGGGCAGAUUCCAUACUAGGCUACGUACCAAGUAUGCAUGCGGCUAUGUAUGCAUGCAUGCACAUAGCACCGUGCUGCAUAAAUAAAUAAUUAAGGGAUACUUCUAGGGCUGGGAACUAAUUAUCGGUCGAUUGAUGUCACCGAUAUGUGUGUGUGUCCAGAAACCCUCCUGCCUUCACUCCUGUAUCGUUCCGGGCUUUGAUUGUUUUGGUAUUUGUCUUGUAACUUGUGAUUCGUCUUUGAUUUGUUGUAUUUGAGCUUCUUAUUCUGGUUGUAUCCGGGCUUUGCUCUGGAUGGGUCUCUAGUAUAGUUGGAACGAGAAAAGAACAAGCACAAUAUCACGUAGACCUUAAGUUCAAGCAACAUGUUUGUGUUCUAGAGAACAAAACUUACAUGUCUCUUAUAUUUUAAAUAAUCUGAUUUCAGCAAUGUGUUUUCAAAAUGAAAUAACAAACUUCAACGAAACUGAGAAAAUAUUUUAGUGGCCUUGUAGUGAUGCUUAUCGAAGGUUGUUUAGCAACGAUGCCCGAAUUUUUUCACAUGAAAUGCGCUGAUUUAUGGGCAAUAAUAUGGAUAACAUAGCAAAUAAUAAUAUACUACUAUAUUAAUAGAGCACAACUCUCAUGAAAAGUUCUACUUAAUCAAGCUGCAAGUUAAAAAUCAAAUGACCCAAAAUAAGACGGUUACACUAUUACAAGUUCUGCUUGGAACAAGAAAAUAAUUUCAACCCUGAAUAGGACAACAACUCAAACACCAGAAUGACCAUGGCCGCACGAGAUGUCCUGGUCCUCCAUGACCCAUAUCACCUUCUCCUUCCUACACAAGAAUAACCGGAACGUUCUUACUGAUUGUCUACAAUUUUUACCUGAAUUAAAUAAGCCCAUAAUCCACAACCUAAAACGUAUAUUACAUGAUCAGGCUUUUUUAUUUUUGAAGUCAAUGAUCUUGGGAAUAGAUUACCGUGCAUUUCUUCUAGCGUAACUCCGUCAUUUCCGCUAAUUGGCGGAACUGGUCAUCUAGUAUCACUAAAGCUACGAGCUAUCGCCCCCUCAUCUUUGGAAACCCCCACUCUAUUUCUCCCUUGUAUCUAACACUUGAGCGAAAUCGUGAGUUAAUUCAGUUCGAUGCAUACGUUAUGGGUAUAUUCGUUUUACUAAGUAUUGUUUUUUCAAACAGAGGACAUGAUAUGUUGCGACACUGGCUGCCUCUUGAGAAGCUAAUCCACAUCUGCUCGGAAUAUCAUUAUGUGACAUACCAUGUGUAAUACGCACUGCUUUGCUUAUUUAUGCUUCCAUGAAUCGAUGCCUUUUCUACAGCAGGGCUUGACGCAGCAUUCAGGGUGACAUAGCAUGUUGGUUACAUUUUAUAAAUUAAUGAGGACUCUACUUAUUUUUUUUAUGACCGGGUGAGGUCUUGGCUUAUUUUUGACGACAUGGUGAAGUCUACGCUUACUGAUUGGCUUUAAGUUUUCAACCGCGCGCCAGAACAAAUCAGCUGCUGAAGUCUCCGUUUAUUUAUUUUUUCGAACAACUGAGGUCUCGGCUUCCUGAGUGGCUUGAAUUUUUCGCACAAGCACAUGUAUUGGAAUUUUCCCCGUACGUACAAGUGGAUGUUCUUGUUUCCCUACUGAAAGGAGAAUAAUAAUGGCUCUAAGAUUAGCUAAAGCAACCCAUCGAGCUAGCUUGUGCACUAGUAUAAAUACACAAUUCACGGUGACAGCAAAUCUCAUCCAUCAUUACACACACGAACUUCUUUCCUUCAUUCCGUAAGGCAGCAUUACUGAUGGAGUACUCUCCAAAGCUAGCUGCAGCACUGCUCUUAGCCCUCACGUCCGCCAUGAUCGUCACCGCCCAGAAUGACGAUGCUGACUACAUGGUAAAUGCCCACAAUGAAGUGCGCGCCGCCGUCGGUGUGGGGCCGGUGACGUGGGACCCCGUAGUGGCGGCGUACGCGCAGUCAUUCGCGGAGAAGCGCCGCACCGACUGCCAGCCAAUACUCUCUCCGGAUGGCGGUCCAUACGGAGAGAACAUCUUUCGGGCCCCUGGUACCGAAUGGAAUGCGAUAGACGUAGUGAUUUAUUGGGCGUCCGGAAAGCAGUACUACGACCACGCCACCAACACUUGCUCCGCACCUACGGGUGAGUCGUGCGAUGAAUACAUGAAUUUGGUGUGGAGGGACACGAAGACCAUCGGUUGCGGCGCUGUCGUCUGUGACGGCAAUGCCGGUGUG
This 2749-nucleotide long non-coding RNA is filed under the name Hordeum vulgare. Its description in RNAcentral is "long non-coding RNA (HVUL_LNC020932)". The record is from RNAcentral. Lineage: Eukaryota; Viridiplantae; Streptophyta; Magnoliopsida; Poales; Poaceae.